Molecule: ribosomal RNA, 253 nt
Filed under: uncultured bacterium
Lineage: Bacteria
Description: partial 16S ribosomal RNA
Rfam family: Bacterial small subunit ribosomal RNA
Source: RNAcentral
GACGUAGGGCGCGAGCGUUGUCCGGAUUUAUUGGGCGUAAAGAGCUCGUAGGCGGCUUGUCGCGUCGUCCGUGAAAACCUGGGGCUCAACCCCAGGCUUGCGGUCGAUACGGGCAGGCUCGAGUUCGGUAGGGGAGACUGGAAUUCCUGGUGUAGCGGUGAAAUGCGCAGAUAUCUGGAGGAACACCGGUGGCGAAGGCGACAUCCUGGACCGGUAUUGACGCUGAGGCGCGAAAGCCAGGGGAGCAAACGGG